RNAcentral lists this ribosomal RNA (839 nucleotides) under uncultured bacterium. Its description in RNAcentral is "bacterial SSU rRNA". It matches the Rfam family "Bacterial small subunit ribosomal RNA", at positions 614 to 1451 of the family's 1533-position model. The record is from RNAcentral.
CCNAUGUAUGCUUUGGAAACUGUUAGACUUGAGUGCAGAAGGGGAGAGUGGAAUUCCAUGUGUAGCGGUGAAAUGCGUAGAUAUAUGGAGGAACACCGGUGGCGAAAGCGGCUCUCUGGUCUGUCACUGACGCUGAGGCUCGAAAGCGUGGGUAGCGAACAGGAUUAGAUACCCUGGUAGUCCACGCCGUAAACGCUGAGUGCUAGGUGUUAGGUCCUUUCCGGGACUUAGUGCCGACGCUAACGCAUUAAGCACUCCGCCUGGGGAGUACGACCGCAAGGUUGAAACUCAAAGGAAUUGACGGGGGCCCGCACAAGCGGUGGAGCAUGUGGUUUAAUUCGAAGCAACGCGAAGAACCUUACCAGGUCUUGACAUCCCGAUGCCCGCUCUAGAGAUAGAGUUUUUCUUCGGAACAUCGGAGACAGGUGGUGCAUGGUUGUCGUCAGCUCGUGUCGUGAGAUGUUGGGUUAAGUCCCGCAACGAGCGCAACCCUUAUUGUUAGUUGCCAUCAUUAAGUUGGGCACUCUAGCGAGACUGCCGGUAAUAAACCGGAGGAAGGUGGGGAUGACGUCAAAUCAUCAUGCCCCUUAUGACCUGGGCUACACACGUGCUACAAUGGUUGGUACAACGAGUCGCAAGCCGGUGACGGCAAGCUAAUCUCUGAAAGCCAAUCUCAGUUCGGAUUGUAGGCUGCAACUCGCCUACAUGAAGUCGGAAUCGCUAGUAAUCGCGGAUCAGCACGCCGCGGUGAAUACGUUCCCGGGCCUUGUACACACCGCCCGUCACACCACGAGAGUUUGUAACACCCAGAGUCGGUGAGGUAACCAUUUAUGGGNCCA